Molecule: ribosomal RNA, 1188 nt
Filed under: Triticum aestivum (bread wheat)
Lineage: Eukaryota; Viridiplantae; Streptophyta; Magnoliopsida; Poales; Poaceae
Description: partial small subunit ribosomal RNA
Source: RNAcentral
AUGCCGCCGCCGCCGCAGCGUCCAGUCCCCUCCCCCGCUGGGCGGGCUAACCUAUUUUCCUGUCCCCCUGCUCCCCCUCCUAACCGCCACAAUCCCAAGAACCGCGCCGUCCCUCUACCUCCCCUCCCACCUCGCCGCCGCCACCCCGAGAACCAUCACGAGCAAUCUUUCCAAGAACAAGCGGCAACGCCGGCUCCAAGAACCACCCACACCAACCCCGCCUUCUGCGCACCCCACCUGCGUACCUCCUACCGGAAACCCGUGCCCCCAGCCGCAGCCACAGGCAAGGGCGAGGCCCUCCUCACAACCGACCCCACAGACGCCGCCGCCGGGCGCUCUGUCGUCGUAGGCCCUUCCGGUGUUACCUUCCGUCUCCCCGGUGCUCCGUUCGACUUUCAGUUCAGCUACUCCGAGGCGCCCCGCGCCGCGCCGCUGGCCAUCCGGGAACCCCCGUUCCUGCCCUUCGCCCCGUCGACCAUGCCGCGGCCGUGGACCGGAAAGGCACCUCUGCUGACCAAGGAAGAGAAGGCCCGGCGAAGGGGCGUGCGGCUGCACACGCCGCUUGGCCAGGAGCCGCCACGAACGGCGAGUCCGCACGGGAUCAUGAUGGAGGUGAGGGGGAGGAGGCAGCUGGACUUGGCCAGGGUGAGCCCCGGCGACGGAAGGAGCCGGGAGGAGGUUCUAGGGGAGCCGCUCACCUCAGCCGAGGUGCGUGAGCUCGUCAAGCCUCAUAUGUCGCAUAACCGGCAACUCAACAUUGGAAGGGAUGGGUUGACCCACAACAUGUUGGAGAUGAUACAUUGCCAUUGGAGGCGCCAGGAGGUCUGCAAAGUGAGAUCUCGAGGAGUACCGACUGUUGAUAUGAACAACCUUUGUUAUCACCUUGAGGAGAAAUCACGUGGAAAGGUCAUUAAACGAGUAGGUGGAGUUGUUUUCUUGUACCGUGGACGAAAUUACAACCCACACACCCGUCCUCGUUAUCCAUUAAUGCUUUGGAAGCCAGCCACUCCUGUUUAUCCAAAACUCAUCCAGCAAGCUCCUGAAGGACUUACAGUGGAAGAAGCAGCUGAAAUGAGAAGGAGAGGACAGAUUCUACUGCCAAUUUUAAAGUUAGGUAUGAUUUGUUGUGUUGGGUUGAAGAUUCAAAUUUUACACCAUCGUUCAGGGUUUCUUCGACAUUUGAACUGA